AGCAAUACUGUUUGGAGGUUCAGACAAGGUGUCCAUUUAUAUUACCAGACAAUGAUGAUGUCAUCUAUGGAGGACUAUCAAGUUUCAUCUGUACAGGGCUCUAUGAAAAUUAUCCAAACAAUGCAGAACCAGAAUGCUGUGAUGUCAGAUGGGGACUAUUACCAGAUAAUCAAUCCAAAGGGACUAUAAAAACAAGUGACUCAUCAAUGUGUCACAGGACAUCGCUCACAGUUUCAUCAGCAUCAAGACUGUGUAACAGCAGACUUAAACUGUGUGUUCUUGUAUUAAUUCUCUUACAUACAGUACUUACAGUCUCAGCAGCACAGAACUCAACAGGACUGGGCUUUGGAGGCAUAACAACUUUGGAAGAUAAUUCAACUAAUGAGGAAUAAAAGAAAGGAUACAUGUCAAAUGAUAGACACACAACAGGCCCAUGUGUACUACAGUCAAAUAUAACAGAGACUGGGUGCUUUUACCCUCUAAUCACUUCUUGAAAGGCCUUCUGGGUAAAAUUAAAAGGAUGGGCAACAAUCCAAACAAGGACACAUGAACACAGCUUUUUAUUGACUAAAAGGCUGUAUGGUGACUUAAAUUUCUCACACCAUUUUAUACACUGUGUUUUAAUGUUUGGAGUUUCUUUUUUUGUUUGUUUUUUGCACUUGUUAAUACAGGAUUUUAUUUUUGGGACCGUUUCUCAAAGCUAAACUAAGUCUUUUCACUGUCGAUAUAUUUCUAUUCAUUGUGUAUGUUCAUCUGAUAGUUCUGUCUUUUAUGUCCUGUCAGUUUCUAUUAGAGGAAUGACUGCUAUGAUUCCAUGGCAUAACAAAAAACAAAAAAACAACAAAAACAAAUUUAAAAAAAAAACAACAAAAAAACACAAAAAAAAUUACAAAAAAAACACACACACCCCCACCACCAACCUAACUGUCCUUUUUACCUAUGGAAACCAUUCUCUUCCUUCCCCCUCCCCCAUCUCCCUUAUGCAGACAACAUCCACUUGCUUCUGUCUGUGUAAUCACAAUGAAUGGGUACACGUGAUUCUGGUGUACCUCUGCCACUGUUGCACAAACCAGCUGACUGAGCAAACCCAACCAGAGCAUGAGGGGGUUCGUUUUAGCUGAACAAACAAGUGCUCUCCUUACAAGGUGGGAUCGGACAGUUAACAAAUUUUUAUGUAUAGAAAUCUAUAACAAACUGUUGCUCCAAUUCCCAUUUUCAAGAAGUCCAGUCCUUUCUCGCUGGUCAGUUGAACAGGAGCAGCCUUUUUAGAUACAGUAUGGGAAACCAGUUAAGCUCAGCAAGUUGAAUAGUUGGGAGGCCUUCCUAUUGGAGGUAAAAGAUUGGCAUUCAUUGUGAAUUACGUUUUCAGUUCCACUGCAGUCACAUAACCAGCAAAGAUUCAUAAUGUCUGGGAGCAAAGAGAUUCAGAAAAAAAGAAGUCUUUUUUCUUCUGACAAAGCUACAGUAGAAGCAUUUAAGCACCGACAGUACAAAUGAUGUGUUCAGUGUUGAAUCCAUUGUUUUUCUAGCAGCUACAUGUUGUUGAAAGUUAUUCGAGUUAUGAAGGAUGCAUAGUGAUGUACUAGCACUGCUGAAGAACAUGAGUUUUUUAAUAAAUAGGUCAACCAUUUUCAUAAGUAUGCAAUAAAACAGCAAAGAACAUACCAGGCUAUCAGUAAUCAAGGGAGAGAAGAGUAAUCUGAUUGCCUUUUCCAUUGCUUUUUUUUUUUUCUUCUUUUUUUGUGGGAACAUUUUACCUGCUGAGUGUAUGAGUAUUUGCUUUAUAAAAAGGCUUUUUAGAGUUUACAAUAGAAUCAAUGGAAGGAAAAGUUAAUAAGGGCUGUUUUUAAACAUUUUACAUUCCUUCCUAUUCUCUAACUACACUUGGGAAGUGCACUUUAGAGAUGUUUGCUGUGUAGCUGGGAAAUGAAGGAAAACUAUAAGAAAUGUUCUCUUAGCAAAUAAAGUUUAGUUACCUACUUUCUAGCUUUGAAAUAUCCCUUGAUAAUUAUUUCCAUUAUAAGAGCAUUUAAUCACUGCUACUUAGGUAUGCAGUUUUUUUAAAUUCACAUUUUAUGGUUUGUGAAAUUGUGUGGGGUGGGGGGAGAAGGAAACCCUACUGCUUAAGCUGCUUAAAAUGCAUUUGUUAAGAUGUAAAAUCUCAAAUAUUUUGCAAGAGUAUUUGUUUUGAUAGUGUUUUACUAUUACUGGAACUGAGGAUCCUAAAACGAUCUGUGCAAAUACAAAAAAGCACCAAAAAAUGCAAAAUUCUUCAGCUCAUUUGUGUUUCCAUAACCUGUUCCCCCUGCACAAUAUAUUCCAUUCAAUAAAACAUGGUGCUUUUUUUGCUAGGGGCACGUGUUAAUUGCAUUGAACUGAUGCAAACUGUGGAAAAAAGUGUAGAAAUGAAAAUGAAAAAGCCUUAACUAAUGGUAGAAUGUAGAUUACAAAGAGGAUAGGAAUAUACCUGAAAAGUAGUGGAGCAAUAACUGGACAGUGCUGUGGUACUGUACGAUAGCUUAUGAGUCACAUUAUUGAGAAAGCACUUACUAGGUGAGCUCUUGUUCAACUGACCUCUUAAUUAUAUUAAGUGUAUAUGGUCAGUAAACAGUUUGUUAUAACCUUUAUCUACCUCUGCUGUGCAAAGGCCAUUCAACAUCUAUUUCUGUGAAGUUCUUCAUAUUUUUGUUCACACCAUAGUUCACUUUCAUCUAUUUUUACACUGCACCAGUACAGUAGCAAGUCCUGUUCAUCCCCAUUAAACUGGCGUAUAAAGAAGAGUUACCAUUUCUACUCACUGAACCCUAUUUUUCCUCAUGGUGACCUAAUGUGACAAAUCAUCUUUAAGAAAUAUUAUUUCCUCCCUCUCUGUCUCUCUCUCCCCUUUAUUUUUUCUUUAAAGGUGUUUUCAACUGGUGUCAGUAAGAAAUAUGACUCCUCCACUGCUUGGCUACACUCAGUAACAUAUGUCAUACGAUAUGGGGAGAAAGACAGCUGAGAAAAAACAGUGGCGACAUCAUCACAUGCAUAAAAUAGCCAAAUUAAAGUUGGGUAAAAUGGAGUAGGAAUCUUAAUCAUUACAAUAAUUACAGAGUCUUAAUCAUUAAAUAUAAAAUGUAAUAAAAUACUCCCCCUAUCCCCACCCCGAGUCAGUGCCUGCAGUUAAAUGGUCUGUGAAUUCUCUCUGUCUUUUUUUUUUUUUUUUUUUUUCUAUUUCUUUUGUUUAAAAAAAAAAUCAUGUUCUUGGGGUGACUACUGCUGUGAUAUUUGUUACCAUUCCAACAAGGUAUUUCUACUCCAGCAGUGUGGUAUGAAGCUUCUCCUGGUGACAACUAGGAAAUCUCAAGUAGACAAAGACUCUUUUAUGAAGUUAAGCAACACGUAAUCAUGUAUGAUGCAAAAUUUCAUUUCAUCCACUCCUCCUUCGUAAUAGUUUUCCUGGCACAAACUUAAGCAUGCUUGAUAUUGUGCACAUCUUACUUUUUUUGCCAGAAUAAAUUUGCAUCUUGCCACUGCUGUAACUGCCAUCUUGUUCCAUUUCUCCUUGUACUGUAUGCCUAUUACAUACAUGAUAAAGAACUGGCUUAAAAAAGAAAAGAUAAUACUAAAAUAUUUCUUCAAGCAAGUGACAAAAAAAAGAAGAAAGAAAGAAUAGAAUAAUAUUUAUUUUGCAGUCAUAUGGAACAGAUUUUCCCCAUGUCUUUUAUUGUCUUAUUUUCUGCAGUAGGGAAAAUCCAGAGUUUGUGCAAUAUGUUAAUACUGCUCAACCAAAUGUCAUAUAACAUAACCAGAGCUAUAUGUUAUUCCUUAUUGCAUUUACAUUUGGUAAUAUGUUAUAUUGACUUUUUUCUUUCAUUAAAGAGCCAGCAUCCAUUUUUUGCAAA
This is a long non-coding RNA of Malaclemys terrapin pileata, 3884 nucleotides long. RefSeq lists it as uncharacterized. Lineage: Eukaryota; Metazoa; Chordata; Testudines; Emydidae. The transcript is spliced from 2 exons. The record is from RefSeq and is a predicted model, not a curated record.